GGAUUAGAUACCCUGGUAGUCCACGCUGUAAACGAUGAUCACUAGAUGUUAGGCUCUUAGAGCUUAGUAUCGCAGCUAACGCGAUAAGUGAUCCGCCUGAGGACUACGAUCGCAAGAUUAAAACUCAAAGGAAUUGACGGGGGUCCGCACAAGCGGUGGAACAUGUGGUUUAAUUCGUCACUACGCGAGAAACCUUACCUAGGCUUGACAUGUUUUUGACCGCUGUAGAAAUACAGCUUUCCAAGCUUUGCUUGGACAAUUGCACAGGUGCUGCAUGGCUGUCGUCAGCUCGUGCUG
RNAcentral lists this ribosomal RNA (297 nucleotides) under uncultured bacterium. RNAcentral's name for it is "partial 16S ribosomal RNA". It matches the Rfam family "Bacterial small subunit ribosomal RNA", at positions 775 to 1067 of the family's 1533-position model. The record is from RNAcentral.